This 1505-nucleotide long non-coding RNA is filed under the name Mytilus galloprovincialis (Mediterranean mussel). Lineage: Eukaryota; Metazoa; Mollusca; Bivalvia; Mytilida; Mytilidae. The record is from RNAcentral.
AUGGCUUUUGAACAGUCAAAAGCAUUUGAGAUUAAAAAAGAAAACAAAUAUCAAAUAGUUAGAUGAACUGGAUGAUUUGUUGUUUGUCUAACGUCUAUAUGGAAAUCUGUCAUGUAUAUUCCAUUUGAAAACAAUUGAAUAAAUCAUGUUCAAAUAACCAUAUGUUCUGUAAAAUUAAUUUGAACUGCAAUUACACAGAUAAGAGGUACAUGUACAUGUAUAUCGGAAAACAUUCUAGUCUUGAGACUUCCACCUUUAUAUAGCACCCCUUAACAUAUUCUCUCCUACAAAAAUAAUGUGAAUUUGAAGGUGCCAUUUCGACUAGACAUAGCUGCGUAUUUUGACAGCCUGCACAACUAAACAGAACUUUUUUCAGGGUAUAUACUACUACUAAAAAGUCUAUAAUACCAAUCUUCUUUACUCCAAUCAACCCUUAUAUGACUGAUUGAUGGUUUCUGUGAUUAGGUUAAUUACCUAAGAAAAAACUUACAUCUAGUUGUCUAACUUUGCAGUAUAACUCACUAUAUUGCUACACAGAAAGCGCAAACUUUACUGGUGACGCCGGUUCUAUCGUUAGAAAAUUAUGUCCAUUUAUUCUAAAGCUUAGCCGAUAGAAUGUUGACCUUUCGCUAUAUAUAUAUGUAUAUGUCAACGUGAUUCAAUAUGAACAAUGUAUUUGUAAUAGUCAUAUAACUGUUUAAUAUAAUAUUAUGAUAUAAUUCUCUUUUAAACAGAAUAAAUGAUACAUGUCCUUGGUUGAGAAUUGUCUCACAACACAUCUUCUUACUUACAUAUGAUGAGUGAAGUAAUAAAUUGAAAUGAAGCAUCAAUUAAAUUCACAAUGACGUUGUAAUACUAUUUAUGACAUGUACGUACUAUUGUAAUAAUAACUGAAGACUGCUGUGUUUACUUAUUAUGUUUAGAUUUAACACUUUAUUCGCUACUUAUGCAAAGUAUUCAGGAUAGUCCUGCUUCCGAAAUAUUUAAUCUUUUUUCCGCAACAAAUUUUAAAAUGUUAUAUAACCGGUUGUGUAUCCGUUCAGGCACAAGUGGUUUGUAGUUUUUGUCUGAGAUCAAGAACAUCUUAAAAUAUUGUUUUUGUACCUGAUGACAUUUUAUAACUAACAGACAAAUAAUGUGAUUUUUUUACCACUCUUCCCGAUCUUAACCUUGAAUUUAGUCUAUACAGGGUCUGAAUUUUGGUGUGGAUUGAUAUAAAAGGUCUUCAAUUUGUUUUCUUCACUCUAUUUUCUAUUAUUAUCAAUUACCAGUCGUACUUCACUAUUGGAACACAUUAUUCUUGUUUUUUUUUUGUAUAAAAGUAAGAAGUCGUGGUUAGAUUGUCUAUAUAGACCACUCUUUACUAGAGACCAAUUGACGUUAACGUUAACAACUAUAGGUCAGCCGGGUUCCAUUGUCAAAAGAAACAACAAAUGUGGUUAGGGGUAUAUGUAGGAGUUUUCGUCUUCAAAAACCCAUUCGUUUGAUGUUUGUAAUCAUAUUUU